GCAAUUAAAGUCAAGAGCUAAGGAGGGAGGGAGAGGGUUUAGAAAUACCAGCAUAAUAAGUAGUAUGACUGGGUGCUCUGUAAAUUAACUCAAUUAGACAAAGCCUGACUUAACGGGGGAAGAUGGUGAGAAGCGCUACCCUCAUUAAAUUUGGUUGUUAGAGGCGCUUCUAAGGAAAUUAAAUCUGUUAGUUGUUUGAAUCACAUAAAAUUGUGUGUGCACGUUCAUGUACACAUGUGCACACGUGUAACCUCUGUGAUUCUCGUGGGUAUUUUUUUAAGAAGAGAGGAAUAGAAAGCAAAGAAAAAUAAAAAAUACUGAAAAGAAAAAAGACUGAAAGAGUAGAAGAUAAGGAGAAAAGUACGAUAGAGACAAGGAAAGUAAGAGAGAGAGAGAGAGCUCUCCCAAUUAUAAAGCCAUGAGCCCCCUUUGGUGGGGGUUUCUGCUCAGUUGCUUGGGCUGCAAAAUCCUGCCAGGAGCCCAGGCUCAGUUCCCCCGAGUCUGCAUGACGGUGGACAGCCUAGUGAACAAGGAGUGCUGCCCACGCCUGGGUGCAGAGUCGGCUAAUGUCUGUGGCUCUCAGCAAGGCCGGGGUCAGUGCACAGAGGUGCGAGCCGACACAAGGCCCUGGAGUGGUCCCUACAUCCUACGAAACCAGGAUGACCGUGAGCUGUGGCCAAGAAAAUUCUUCCACCGGACCUGCAAGUGCACAGGAAACUUUGCCGGCUAUAAUUGUGGAGACUGCAAGUUUGGCUGGACCGGUCCCAACUGCGAGCGGAAGAAACCACCAGUGAUUCGGCAGAACAUCCAUUCCUUGAGUCCUCAGGAAAGAGAGCAGUUCUUGGGCGCCUUAGAUCUAGCGAAGAAGAGCGUACACCCCGACUACGUAAUCACCACACAACACUGGCUGGGCCUGCUUGGGCCCAAUGGAACCCAGCCGCAGUUUGCCAACUGCAGUGUUUAUGAUUUUUUUGUGUGGCUCCAUUAUUAUUCUGUUAGAGAUACAUUAUUAGGUGGGUUUUUUCCUUGGCUGAAGGUAUAUUAUUACAGGUUUGUGAUUGGGUUGAGGGUAUGGCAGUGGGAAGUAAUUUCAUGCAAGUUAAUUAAGAGAGCAACCACAAGGCAGCCUUAGGUUUAUGAAAGUCGUAGAAUUAUCAAAUACCGCCUGGAGUUAGAAGGAAGCAGUUUCUUCCUGUGCAUUGGAUGCAGACACUUUAAAUGUUCUCUCCUCUACCGUAUGUUCUUGGUUCAAAGUGUAAACUUUUCUCUGUGAAGCUGUUAAUCAUCAAAGACGUGAGUUGGUGAGGUGGAGGCGAAUUCCUUUUGAUUUCAGAAGAAAACAUUUGCGAAUCUGGCCAUGGAAGCCCUCUCUGACCUUUUCUCCAAAUUAGAGGAAUUAACUGAACAUGUGCUAAGGCACAUGAAGCUUCUUUGUGCGGAAUUAGAGUGCUCAUGUUGGGAGUGGGCAUCUUGUUAAACUCACAGGAUAGAUCAACUUUGGAUGGAUUUUAGACAGUCUAUCACAUGAUAGACUUUCAGAUAAUCAUUUAUGGUACUCCUGCAUGGUCCGGAAUCCCCAGGUUUCUUGGAGCUUUAUUGUCAAGGAAAAGUACAAGCUUAGCCACAGCAAUGUAGAGUUUCUGCUGCUUAGCUCUUUGCAACACAGUCAUGUUGGAUGCUUGAGGAAUUGGUGACCUGCCCUUCCAAGUCUUAAAAAUUGGGGUCUGGGUAGGACUUGGAAUGAGGGGGUUGUCUGUUACAAACUUCAUGGAUCAAGUAGGUUCAGCUUUGUCCUUAUUUUUCAGUCAAAGGAAAGCCAUAGACACCAAUGUAUUCCAGGAGGGCUUGACUCCAUCCUAGAUUCUUCCCAUAGCAGUUCUUGAAUGCAUGGCUGCACGUGCACCUCUCCCCAUUUUUGGGGUCCUUCAUUGGGGUCAGGAUGAAUGAAGACAUCAAGCUCACUUUGAAGAGCAAGAUUCUGAUUUGGACAGGUUCAUCCUUCUGCUCAUCACUUGUUCCCCUUCAAUUGAUACCCUCUCGUUGUCGGGUUCUGAGAAUUUGAAACCUUGCUCUGAAUUGAACAUGAAAAAGGGCCGUGUAGCCAACAUCAGGGACAGCAGUGCUUUUCUCAGUGUGAGUCUUUUAAAACUUGCCUUACAGGUAAGCAUCUGUCUGUCUUUAUCGAUAGAUAAGGAGGCUCUUUUGGCUAUAAACCUUUAUAGUUUUCCUGUUAUCACUCUGAGGAAUUAUUGCUUUAUGAGAGAGUACUCUCUCAAGAGGAAAAGAAAGUCCUAGUUUCUGGUCAUAGCUACGAAUUAAAUUUAUAUUCAUGUCUGUUCAGCUCUCUGAAGUUGUUAUAGGUAUUUUGGACAAGAACUAAAGUUAGCUGAAGUUUCCACAUAACCAUCAAAGCUGUUAUGAAAAAGGGAAGAAGGAUGGACCAGGCAGUAAGCAGGUCAUUAAAUCGUCCAGAGCUUUUCACUAAAAUUGGCAGUUCCAGUGUCCAGCCUAAAUGGCUUGAAUGUAUUUUUCUCUCUUCUGGUCUCAGCGAACAUGCUUGUCAGCUAGUAGUUAUAACAGAUUGAUGGGUGAGGCAAAAUACGCGAAAGUUCUUUUUGGUUACAUAAAUACUGCAUUAGGACUAAGUGCAGUUGAAGUUACAAUAUUAUUAAUUAAUCUCUCCCUUUUAAAUUUAUAUCUUUGUGAAGCGUAGGUUAGCAAAUGCCUUUAAAAAAUAUAUUUCAUUUAGGUCUUAAUGAUCUAUUCUUUUGGAUAGUCUAUUUCACCUGAAUGGAUUGUUGCUUACAAAUUAAAUAUGUAUCAGGGGCUCCCAAUCCUGAAAGUCACCUGAAUUUCCUGGAUCUCUGCUAGAAAUCAACCUUUUAAGAGAUAAAGGAGGGUUUAUCCUAAAAGUACUAGUUACUUCUGAAAUUCAUGUCAUUACUAUUGCUUUUGGAGAUAUAAAUAACAACAAAACUUUUUUUCUUACUACUAUAAAACAUCAUGGACUUAUUGGUUCUAUAGAUACAGCCCAGGUAAGAUUUAACAUUUUAAAAAAUUCUAUUCUGUCAUCUCUAAUAUGUUUCCCAAUUGUUUCAGGACCAGGACGCCCCUACAGGGCCAUAGAUUUCUCACAUCAAGGACCUGCAUUUGUUACCUGGCACCGGUACCAUUUGUUGUGUCUGGAAAGAGAUCUCCAGCGACUCAUUGGCAAUGAGUCUUUUGCUUUGCCCUACUGGAACUUUGCCACUGGGAGGAACGAGUGUGAUGUGUGUACAGACCAGCUGUUUGGGGAAGCGAGACCAGACGAUCCGACUCUGAUUAGUCGGAACUCAAGAUUCUCCAGCUGGGAAACUGUCUGUGAUAGGUAAUGGCUCCUGUACCUGCAAUGGCAUCCAGAGAUUGUCUUUUCUGAUGUCUGAGACAUGGAGGAGAAGGCACUUUAUAGUGCUGUUUCUUAUGCAUGUGGUGUCCUAUUUACAUGUUUCUAAAAACAGUUUUCCUCUGGGAGGUGGGAUUUCAAAAAUUCAAAGCUCUUUAAUU
This 3543-nucleotide small RNA is filed under the name Pan troglodytes (chimpanzee). RNAcentral describes it as "retained intron". The record is from RNAcentral. Lineage: Eukaryota; Metazoa; Chordata; Mammalia; Primates; Hominidae.